UCCCUCUCCCCCUCAGUAAGAGCUCACUUGUGGUGUCUCCUAAUCAGAAGUGCGCAGGUGUUUUCCAGCUCUUCAGCUCUUUCUCUCUCUCUCUCUCUUUCAUUGUCUGAUGAAAUUGCUCUUGUAAUCUCUCCCCACCCCCACACUGCUUGAACCGUAAACACCCGAGACAUUUGUCAUGGAUUUCAAAACCACCUGACCCCCUGUGUGCGAAAGAUGCUAUUUUAAGACGCUGGCAAAAACUUCUGCUGUGGAAAGAUUCACUGUCGGAAAAAAGGUUUAGCAGGACAUGUGUUUUUAGCUGUACUCAUGUUCGACACAUGCGAAUCGGAGAGGGCUUUGGCUGAACGCCCUUCGUGAUGACGUCACACAGCCCAAAUCUGUGGAACAUCUGCGGUGUCAGGACAGAGUGGUCCCUCCCUCCCUCUCUCAUCCCUCCAUCGUCCGUGGACAUCCAGUGCUCGUCCUCCUCUUGCUCCAACAGUGAAAAGGGUCAAGCAGCUUUUCGCAGGGGCCACCUUGUGGUUGGAUGUCACUUACGGCCUAAAAGGGUAAGAAAUUCCCCUGCUUAGUAGUAUAGUAUAUGCACUAUCUGGCCAAAAGUAUGUGGACACCUGACUAUCACAGCCAGACGUGCUUGCUGAACCUCCCUUUCCAAAAACCAUGCACAUUAAUACCGAGUUGGUCCCCUUCAUUGCUGCUAUAACAGCCUCUACUCUUCUGGGAAGGCUUUCCACUAGGUUUUGGAGCAUGGCUUUGUGCUCAUUCAGUCAAAAGAGCAUUAGUGAGGUCAGACACUGAUGUCUGGCAAGAAGGCCUGGGCUGCAGUCUGCAUACUAUUUCAUCC
Long non-coding RNA from Ictalurus punctatus (channel catfish), 847 nucleotides. RefSeq lists it as uncharacterized. The record is from RefSeq and is a predicted model, not a curated record. Lineage: Eukaryota; Metazoa; Chordata; Actinopteri; Siluriformes; Ictaluridae. The transcript has 3 exons.